This 450-nucleotide ribosomal RNA is filed under the name uncultured bacterium. RNAcentral describes it as "SSU rRNA". It matches the Rfam family "Bacterial small subunit ribosomal RNA", at positions 26 to 518 of the family's 1533-position model. The record is from RNAcentral.
AGGAUGAACGCUGGCGGCGUGCCUAAUACAUGCAAGUCGAACGAGGUCUUCGGACCGAGUGGCGAACGGGUGAGUAACACGUUGGUACCUACCCCGAAGUGGGGAAUAACUGCCCGAAAGGGUGGCUAAUACCGCAUAAUACCGCAAGGUUAAAGCAGUAAUGCGCUUCGGGAGGGGCCUGCGUCCCAUUAGCUAGUUGGUAGGGUAAUGGCCUACCAAGGCGACGAUGGGUAGCUGGAUCGAGAGGUUGACCAGCCACACUGGGACUGAGAUACGGCCCCAGACUCCUACGGGAGGCAGCAGUAAGGAAUCUUCCACAAUGGACGAAAGUCUGAUGGAGCAACGCCGCGUGCAGGAUGACGGCCUUCGGGUUGUAAACUGCUUUUAUAUGGGAAGAUUAUGACGGUACCAUAUGAAUAAGGACCGGCUAACUACGUGCCAGCCAGCCGC